This 1474-nucleotide ribosomal RNA is filed under the name uncultured bacterium. RNAcentral's name for it is "bacterial SSU rRNA". It matches the Rfam family "Bacterial small subunit ribosomal RNA". The record is from RNAcentral.
ACGAUCCUGGCCACAGAAUGAACCAGUGGCGGCGUGGAUUAGGCAUGCAAGUCGUGCGACAAGCCUUUCCUAGCUUGCUAGGAAAGGUGGAGGAGCGGCGAAAGGGAGAGUAACGCGUGGAUACCUACCCCCAGGUCCGGAUAUUAGCGGCGGGAAACUGCCGGUAAUACCGGAUGACGUCUCCGGACCACAGGUGUUUUUCCGCCUGGGGACGGGUCCGCGUCCUAUUAGCUUGUUGGUGGGGUAACCACCUACCAAAGCGAAGAUGGGUUAUCGGGUGUGAGAGCAUGGCCCGGCUCACUGGGACUGAGACUAUGCCCAGACACCACGGGUGGCUGCAGUCGAGAAUCUUCCGCAAUGGGCGCAAGCCUGACGGAGCGACGCCGCGUGCGGGAUGAAGGCCUUCGGGUUGUAAACCGCUGUCAGUGGGGAGCAAAUCCAGAGGGGGCUAUCCCCUUUGGUUGAGCGAUCCGCAGAGGAAGCGCAGGCCCAGUUCCCCCAGCAGCCGCGUAUACACGAACUGCGACUACGUUAUUCGGAAUCACUGGGCUUAAAGAGUAUCUAGGCGGCCUGGCAGGUGGGGUGUGAAUACCCACGGCUCAACCGUGGAAUUGCGCUCCAAACCGUCAGGCUCGAGAUGGAGAUAGCAGGUGAGCGGAACUGAUGGUGGAGCGGAUAAACCGCGUUGAUAUCAUCAGGAACACCGGUGGCGAAAGCGGCUCACUGGGUCUCUUCUGACGCUGAGGGAGUUACGAAAGCACAGGGGAGCGAACGGGAUUAGAUACCCCGGUAGUCCUAGCUGUAAACGAUGAGCACUAGAUCGAGGGGACCCAUCAUCCCCCUGGUCGUAGCGUAUAGUGUUAAGUGCUCCGCCUGGGGAGUAUGUGAGGCAAGGCUGAAACUCAAAGGAACCUGACGGGGGCUCCAACAAGCGGUGUUGGAUGUGGCUUAAUUCGAGGCUACGCGAAGAACUAUUAUCCUGGUCUUGACAUGCUUGGGCAUCCUCCUGAAAGGGAGGAGUGCCCUUCGGGGAGCCCUUGCACAGGUGCUGCAUGGCUGUCGUCAGCUCGUGUCGUGAGAUGUCGGGUUAAGUCCCUUAACGAGCGAAACCCUUGUCCUUAGUUGCCCAGCGGUUCGGCCGGGGACUCUAAGGAGACUGCCGGUGUUAUAGGCGGAGGAAGGUUUGAUGACGUCAAGUCCUCAUUUCUUUACAGGACCAGGGCCAGUUCACACGUCCUACAGAUGGUGCGUACAAAGGGAUGCAAACCCGCGAGGUGGAGCAAAUCCCAAAAAGCGCACCUCAGUUCGGAUUGUAGGCUGAAACCCGCCUGCAUGAAGCCGGAAUCGCUAGUAAUCGCAGGUCAGCAUACUGCGGUGAAUGUGUUCCUGAGCCUUGUACACACCGCCCGUCAAGCCACGAAAGUAAGUAGCCCGAAGUCGCUGCGGUAACCCGCAAGGGAGCUAAGUCAUCCUA